This 275-nucleotide long non-coding RNA is filed under the name Malus domestica (apple). Its description in RNAcentral is "long non-coding RNA (MDOM_LNC002780)". The record is from RNAcentral. Lineage: Eukaryota; Viridiplantae; Streptophyta; Magnoliopsida; Rosales; Rosaceae.
AAUGAGUUUUCGUCAAAAUAUCGCGAUAUUAUCGAUAAUAUCGCGACAUUAGUUAUAAUAUCGCGAUAUUAUCGCGAUAUGACAUCCAAAAAUUCUUAAAAUUUUCUGAUAAGUCUCAAAUUUUGAGACUAAAAGGAUUCGAACCCCCUCCCAUUUGAGUCCUUAACGCCUUAACCACCAUAUCACUUAUGUUGUUGUGAUAAUAUGCUACUAUAUUUAUAUAUAUUGUUUUGUUUUGAAUUCUUUUUACAAGAAACAAAUUUGCACAUAUUCCA